RNAcentral lists this ribosomal RNA (865 nucleotides) under Ceratostomella pyrenaica. RNAcentral's name for it is "LSU rRNA". It matches the Rfam family "Eukaryotic large subunit ribosomal RNA", at positions 35 to 931 of the family's 3401-position model. The record is from RNAcentral. Lineage: Eukaryota; Fungi; Ascomycota; Sordariomycetes; Barbatosphaeriales; Barbatosphaeriaceae.
UAAGCAUAUCAAUAAGCGGAGGAAAAGAAACCAACAGGGAUUGCCCUAGUAACGGCGAGUGAAGCGGCAACAGCUCAAAUUUGAAAUCUGGCUCUCGGGCCCGAGUUGUAAUUUGUAGAGGAUGCUUUGGGCGCGGCGCCUUCUGAGUUCCCUGGAACGGGACGCCAUAGAGGGUGAGAGCCCCGUAUAGUUGGACGCCUAGCCUAUGUAAAGCUCCUUCGACGAGUCGAGUAGUUUGGGAAUGCUGCUCAAAAUGGGAGGUAAAUUUCUUCUAAAGCUAAAUACCGGCCAGAGACCGAUAGCGCACAAGUAGAGUGAUCGAAAGAUGAAAAGCACUUUGAAAAGAGGGUUAAAUAGCACGUGAAAUUGUUGAAAGGGAAGCGCCUGUGACCAGACUUGGGCCCGGCGGAUCAUCUAGCGUUCUCGCUGGUGCACUCCGCCGGGUUCAGGCCAGCAUCGGUUUCCUCAGGGGGAUAAAAGCGUCGGGAAUGUAGCUCCCCCGGGAGUGUUAUAGCCCGUCGCAGAAUACCCUUUAGGGGACCGAGGACCGCGCUUCGGCAAGGAUGCUGGCGUAAUGGUCACUAGCGACCCGUCUUGAAACACGGACCAAGGAGUCAAGCAUUAGGGCGAGUGUUUGGGUGUAAAACCCGCACGCGUAAUGAAAGUGAACGUAGGUGAGAGCUUCGGCGCAUCAUCGACCGAUCCUGAAGUAUUCGGAUGGAUUUGAGUAAGAGCCUUAACGCUUGGACCCGAAAGAUGAUGAUCUAUGCCUGUAUAGGGUGAAGCCAGAGGAAACUCUGGUGGAGGCUCGCAGCGGUUCUGACGUGCAAAUCGAUCGUCAAAUAUGGGCAUGGGGGCGAAAGAC